CCCUGGGGGGAGACGGGGGCUCAGCCUCAGGGGGAGCCUCGGAGUCCGGAGGCAGGCGCUGCUCCUGACACGGCCCUUCCAUUUCCCCGAAGAGCCCUUACGUGCCCCCGGCUGCCGCAGUUCUCUGGCCCCGGCCCCUGGCUCUCCCAUGUCCUCUACACCUGGGGCCCAGCUCCCGGCCCCUGGUGACCCCCAAGUCUCCAAGGGGAGGAGAGGAUGCCUAGGCCUAGUCGGGGAAGCUGCUUCCAGACGUUUCUCAAACCUGCCCUGGCUGGUAUGGCUCAGUAGGUUGGAGCACCAUCCCGUGUACCGGAAGGUCGUGGGUUCGAUCCUGGGUCAAGGUGCAUGUGAGAGGUAACCGAUCAAUGUAUCUCUCUCACACUGAUGUUCCUUUCUCUUUCCCCUCCCCCUUCCAUAGAAAUCAAU
This is a long non-coding RNA of Pipistrellus kuhlii (Kuhl's pipistrelle), 426 nucleotides long. RefSeq lists it as uncharacterized. The record is from RefSeq and is a predicted model, not a curated record. The transcript is spliced from 2 exons. NCBI's taxonomy places the organism in Eukaryota, Metazoa, Chordata, Mammalia, Chiroptera, Vespertilionidae.